GAUGAACGCUGGCGGCGUGCUUAACACAUGCAAGUCGAACGGGAUCCAUCAGGCUUUGCUUGGUGGUGAGAGUGGCGAACGGGUGAGUAAUGCGUGACCGACCUGCCCCAUACACCGGAAUAGCUCCUGGAAACGGGUGGUAAUGCCGGAUGCUCCAGUUGAUCGCAUGGUCUUCUGGGAAAGCUUUCGCGGUAUGGGAUGGGGUCGCGUCCUAUCAGCUUGACGGCGGGGUAACGGCCCACCGUGGCUUCGACGGGUAGCCGGCCUGAGAGGGCGACCGGCCACAUUGGGACUGAGAUACGGCCCAGACUCCUACGGGAGGCAGCAGUGGGGAAUAUUGCACAAUGGGCGCAAGCCUGAUGCAGCGACGCCGCGUGAGGGAUGGAGGCCUUCGGGUUGUAAACCUCUUUUAUCGGGGAGCAAGCGAGAGUGAGUUUACCCGUUGAAUAAGC
Molecule: ribosomal RNA, 452 nt
Filed under: uncultured bacterium
Lineage: Bacteria
Description: bacterial SSU rRNA
Rfam family: Bacterial small subunit ribosomal RNA
Source: RNAcentral